Long non-coding RNA from Bos taurus (domestic cattle), 726 nucleotides. NCBI's taxonomy places the organism in Eukaryota, Metazoa, Chordata, Mammalia, Artiodactyla, Bovidae. The record is from Ensembl.
CUGCAGUGGAAGCUCAGAGUCUUAACCACUGGACCACCAGGGAAGUCCUUCCAUAGACCAGAAUUUGAGAUCAUCGAGAAGGAGAAAGACCUUGGAGCUGCUUUCAUUUCUUGCUAAAGCAAGUAUGAGGCUCCGCUGGAGGAGAAAGGAAGAUGCUAUGUGCCUGACGUUCUGGAGCACAGACUCGCAUUCUUCCCUUGGUGAAGUCAUGAAGGAUACAGAGUAGACUCGCAUUCUUCCCUCGGUGAAGUCAUGAAGGACACAGAGAAUGGUCUAUUUUCUGUCCUGCGGACAAUACAAACCGGCCCUGGGUUGGAAGGCUUCCUCUCCUGGCACUGCUCCUGUCAGACUCCGCUCCUGGAGCCCUCUCAGAAUUCAGCUUGCGUCCCCCUCCUGGGCUUCUUCCAGGCCGUGCUGCCUCCGGCUGUGGACCCUGCAUGUGCAUCCCCACUCUUGCAUUACCAGAAAGCCAUCCUGUCAUCUGCCCACAGCCUUACCAGCAUCUGUCUUCCUGUCCCAUCUGGAAAGUGGGACCAGUCACCGUUACCUCCUUGAGGAGGGAAAUCUGCUCUGAGCUACUGCAUGACUGAAACAGUGGGAAGGCACACAGCUAAGUGUGAUUGAUUUAGUGCAAAGAGGUCCAUUUAACUUCAACCAACACGUGGGGGGUUUUUUUUUCUCUCUAUUCAAGUUGCUUGAAGAUCACCAACUGGUGGUUCUGGAAGC